RNAcentral lists this unclassified non-coding RNA (249 nucleotides) under Hevea brasiliensis (rubber tree). Lineage: Eukaryota; Viridiplantae; Streptophyta; Magnoliopsida; Malpighiales; Euphorbiaceae. The record is from RNAcentral.
AUGAUUAUUGAAUACAUUUUUUUACAUAUAAAUUCAAUUAAAAGUGUUUGUCCUACCAAAAUUCAAACUAGAUCAUAACCUGUAAGGGUUUAGUCAAGUGAAGGAAUUUCUGCCUUGAAUGUGUGUUGAAGGUGCACAAUUGGGUUCAAAGUUAAAACCAUAAGCUCAGUGAACUGGACUUGAAUGAAGUUUGGUUUUUGUGGUGACCUAGGCACAAAUUAUUUGUCUGCCUUGCUUGAAGUCUUCCUA